GCGCCGGUGGUGUAAGGCGAACAUCGCUGCCCGGAAAGCAGAAGAUGCGGGUUCUAGUCCCGCCUGGCGCA
This is a non-coding RNA of Heligmosomoides polygyrus, 71 nucleotides long. NCBI's taxonomy places the organism in Eukaryota, Metazoa, Nematoda, Chromadorea, Rhabditida, Heligmosomidae. The record is from Rfam.